AAAUAUUUAAUAUGGUGAUGUUCGAUUGUUAUUGUGCGACUUGUUGUUUGCUGAAAUGUGCAGUUAGAGGCUAGUUAAUUGAGGAUAAGCAACGAUUCAAGUUUAGGGUUGUGAUGACAAUCCGUCAUUGCAUAUAUUUAGUCGAAGAAUCGGAGAAAAACAAGUGAAAGUUGAGCUAAAACAAAGAAGAAUAACCAAAGGAUGAGGCAAAAAUAGCUAAUGUGAAAAUUAUGGACUUCG
RNAcentral lists this long non-coding RNA (240 nucleotides) under Lathyrus oleraceus (garden pea). Its description in RNAcentral is "Pisum sativum (pea) long non-coding RNA (PSAT_LNC005529)". Lineage: Eukaryota; Viridiplantae; Streptophyta; Magnoliopsida; Fabales; Fabaceae. The record is from RNAcentral.